UACGAAGGGGGCUAGCGUUGCUCGGAAUUACUGGGCGUAAAGGGCGCGUAGGCGGAUAGUUCAGUCGGGGGUGAAAGCCCGGGGCUCAACCUCGGAACUGCCUUCGAUACUGGCUAUCUUGAGUACGGGAGAGGUGUGUGGAACUCCGAGUGUAGAGGUGAAAUUCGUAGAUAUUCGGAAGAACACCAGUGGCGAAGGCGGGUCUCUGGGCCGAUACUGACGCUGAGGAGCGAAAGCAUGGGGAGCGAACAGG
RNAcentral lists this ribosomal RNA (253 nucleotides) under uncultured bacterium. Its description in RNAcentral is "partial 16S ribosomal RNA". It matches the Rfam family "Bacterial small subunit ribosomal RNA", at positions 524 to 776 of the family's 1533-position model. The record is from RNAcentral.